UGCCAUCGCCACCACCCACCCCACCAACCAUCAUCAUCUUCGCACCAACACCACCUGUUGUCAUCGCCACCACUACCCUGUCACCACCGCUGCUAAAACCGAACAUCACCACCACUACCAGCCCUCCUUCAACCACAUAGCAGCCGAUCUGUUGGAGAUCAAACAGAUCAGACCCGACGACACCACCACUACAGAGAUCAAACAGAUCGGACCCAAACUUACUCUGUUACCGCCAUCGUAAAUUAACAAAGAAGACAACGAGUUUGAAUAAUUCUUAGCUAAAUUAAGCAAAACUAAAGCAAAAAAUUGACCUGCAAAUCUUCAAUUCGAGCUCGUGAAGGUUCAGAUCGUUUUUCUCCCAACCGAAAAGCCAAUCAUGCUAGAGACUUGCGAUGCAUAUCAGCCUUUGGAUCAAGUUAAAAUGAAAUCAUGGCCGCGUUAAUUCAACAAAAGCUUCUAGAAGGGGAGGUUGAGGGCGGUUUUUUCAUUCCAUCAAUUUCUCCCCCACGUCGCUCUGAAACCUCUUCAAAUGUUGCGUCACUCUCAUCACAUCUAUCUACAUUUACAUAUCGCAAAACAGGGAACAAGCAGAGAUAUGGGGUUUCUUUCAAACAGAGUUGGGAGUAUUAAUUUGUAGAGAUCUGCGGGGUGGAACGUCGGUCACGGAAUUUGUGAAUUGAGAAGAGAUUAGGGUUUCUAUGAAUACUAACAGUUUCCUAUCAAUUAUUACAAAAGGUAUUUCAAACCUUCUCAUUUCUACUCGUAUGCUUUUAGUUCUAAUUGGUUAUGUAGGGUGCAUUGUGUAGAAAGUGGUGAAGAAAGCAUACAGAGACAAUUAAUUUAUUCUCUAUAAUGCCACAUAUCAUAGGCAAUGAUCAUUUGCUCGAGGGGUUGAAGCAUAUUCAUAACAAAGAGCAAGCAAAAACAGUUACAACUGUUUCAAAUUCUUUACAACAAUCAAGUUACAGUUUCGAGCGCUAAUGCCACGGUGGCUUGGGAAGCCGGAAAGCCGCUGAUGAUUGAAGAAGUGGAGGUGGCACCACAACAGAAAAUGGAAGUAUGAAUUAAGAUCCUCUUCACUUCCCUCUGCCACACCGAUGUUUAGUAUCGGGAAGCCAAAGGGCAACAUCCUGUCUUUCCUUGGAUUUAGGAGUUGAUGCUAGAGGGGUUGUGGAGAGUGCAUGGGAAUGAGUGACAAAUCUACAGCCAGGGGAGAUGAAUUUUGUUAACAUGAACAUGUGUGACCUUCUCAGGAUCAACACUAACUAAAGUUUGUGUCCUCAGCUGUGGGAUCUCCACAUGUUAGGUGCUCCUUUGAACGUUGUAAAACCGAUGAAAGGUUCUUCUGUGGCCGUUUUCGGUUUGGGAGCUGUGGACUUACUGAUGCUGAAGGUGCAAGAAUUGCUGGUGUUUCAAGAACCAUUAUAGUUGAUCUCCUUGCCAAUAGAUUACAAGAAAUCGGUGCAAACAGCGUAAAUUUGAAGAGAUUUGGGGUUUGAGUUUGUGGACCCAAAAGAUUACAAGAAGCCGGUGCAAGAAAUGAUUGCAGAGAGGACAAAUGGAGGAGUUGACAGGAUUGUUGAAUGCACUGGUCAUAUUGAUGCUAUGAUCUUUGCCUUUGAAGGUGUUAUGAUAUAUGAAUUCACCUUAGACAUACCCUUUGCAUGCCCAUUUAUAUGUGUUUUUUAAUAAUGUUUUGUGGUGAUAUAAUUUUGGUGUAGGGUCGGGGAGUAGCUGUUUUGUGGGUGUUCCACAUAAAAAAUGUUGUCUUCCCUUUGAAUCUGUUGAACGAAAGGACUUUAAAAGUGUUGACCUUUUUUGUAACUACUUUUUCAUAUGCACCUUGACAAUUCAGUUAUUGGUAAUCUACUAAUCUGUUCUCAUCACCAUUGUACAAG
This 1898-nucleotide long non-coding RNA is filed under the name Helianthus annuus (common sunflower). Lineage: Eukaryota; Viridiplantae; Streptophyta; Magnoliopsida; Asterales; Asteraceae. The record is from RNAcentral.